Molecule: long non-coding RNA, 1098 nt
Filed under: Homo sapiens (human)
Lineage: Eukaryota; Metazoa; Chordata; Mammalia; Primates; Hominidae
Description: non-protein coding lnc-JPH4-1:17
Source: RNAcentral
AGCAUCAUCCACCCCUUCCACAAGGGAGGGACCCUCUCACAUUUCCAUCCUGUUUGGUUAGGCCAUGUAGUUCUGAUGCUUGGCCACCAGAGGGCAGUGGGAGCCAGGUAACAAACUUCCCUUUCCCCACUCCUCCAACCCCCCACCAUCUCUGCACUGCCUAAAGGGAUAUUGCCAGGUCUGGAAGUGAGGAGGGGACCUCAGACACUGGCCCAGCAGUGUUUCUUUCUUUCUCUCUCUCUCUUUUUUUUUUUAAAAUAGAGAUGGGGGGGGUCUCGCUUUGUUGCCCAGGCUGGUCUUGAACUCCUGGUCUCAAGCAAUCCUCCCGCCUCAGCCUCCCAAUGCGCUGGGAUUACAGGCUUGAGCCACCAUGCCUGGCCAGCCCAGCAGUUUCUUAUCCCAUGUAGCAACCACUGGUGCAGGUGGCAGCCUGGUGCAUUGGGGAGUAUGGGGACCUCCUGCUGGCAGGGAACUGCGAGGAGAUUGAGCCCCUUCAGGUGGACGAAGAGGAAGUGCUGGCAUUGCUGGAAAAGGUGCUGCAGUCCCACAUGUCCCUGCCAGCCACUCGAGGAUAUGCCCUCACAGCCCUCAUGAAGCUCAGCACUCGCCUCUGUGGGGACAACAAGUAAGAAGGGGUCCCAGCCCCUUGAGAGAUGGCCUGUCACUGGGUCCACCCAUUUUUGAGUUUCUUUCCAGGCAUACAUGCCCAGCCCUCCCUACCCCCUAGCCCUUAGGUUCUUGUUUUUGAGCCAAAUCUGGGUAUUUCCCUGCUCCGUGGGCCUUUCCUUCUUGCCACAUCCUGCAGUGGCACACUGCCAUAGCCACUUACAUACUACACUGGCCCAGCCGCAUCCGCCAGGUGGUGUCCAUCUACGGGAGCUGCUUGGACGUGGAGCUGCAGCAGCGGGCUGUGGAGUAUGACACACUCUUCCGGAAAUACGACCACAUGAGGGCUGCCAUCCUGGAAAAAAUGCCUCUUGUGGAGCGAGAUGGCCCUCAGGCUGAUGAGGAAGCAAAGGAAAGCAAAGAAGCAGCCCAGCUUUCAGAAGCAGCCCCAGUGCCCACAGAGCCCCAGGCCUCACAGCUCCUGGAUCUGCU